RNAcentral lists this ribosomal RNA (1225 nucleotides) under Enterococcus faecium. RNAcentral describes it as "bacterial SSU rRNA". It matches the Rfam family "Bacterial small subunit ribosomal RNA", at positions 112 to 1324 of the family's 1533-position model. Lineage: Bacteria; Bacillati; Bacillota; Bacilli; Lactobacillales; Enterococcaceae. The record is from RNAcentral.
AACACGUGGGUAACCUGCCCAUCAGAAGGGGAUAACACUUGGAAACAGGUGCUAAUACCGUAUAACAAUCAAAACCGCAUGGUUUUGAUUUGAAAGGCGCUUUCGGGUGUCGCUGAUGGAUGGACCCGCGGUGCAUUAGCUAGUUGGUGAGGUAACGGCUCACCAAGGCCACGAUGCAUAGCCGACCUGAGAGGGUGAUCGGCCACAUUGGGACUGAGACACGGCCCAAACUCCUACGGGAGGCAGCAGUAGGGAAUCUUCGGCAAUGGACGAAAGUCUGACCGAGCAACGCCGCGUGAGUGAAGAAGGUUUUCGGAUCGUAAAACUCUGUUGUUAGAGAAGAACAAGGAUGAGAGUAACUGUUCAUCCCUUGACGGUAUCUAACCAGAAAGCCACGGCUAACUACGUGCCAGCAGCCGCGGUAAUACGUAGGUGGCAAGCGUUGUCCGGAUUUAUUGGGCGUAAAGCGAGCGCAGGCGGUUUCUUAAGUCUGAUGUGAAAGCCCCCGGCUCAACCGGGGAGGGUCAUUGGAAACUGGGAGACUUGAGUGCAGAAGAGGAGAGUGGAAUUCCAUGUGUAGCGGUGAAAUGCGUAGAUAUAUGGAGGAACACCAGUGGCGAAGGCGGCUCUCUGGUCUGUAACUGACGCUGAGGCUCGAAAGCGUGGGGAGCAAACAGGAUUAGAUACCCUGGUAGUCCACGCCGUAAACGAUGAGUGCUAAGUGUUGGAGGGUUUCCGCCCUUCAGUGCUGCAGCUAACGCAUUAAGCACUCCGCCUGGGGAGUACGACCGCAAGGUUGAAACUCAAAGGAAUUGACGGGGGCCCGCACAAGCGGUGGAGCAUGUGGUUUAAUUCGAAGCAACGCGAAGAACCUUACCAGGUCUUGACAUCCUUUGACCACUCUAGAGAUAGAGCUUCCCCUUCGGGGGCAAAGUGACAGGUGGUGCAUGGUUGUCGUCAGCUCGUGUCGUGAGAUGUUGGGUUAAGUCCCGCAACGAGCGCAACCCUUAUUGUUAGUUGCCAUCAUUCAGUUGGGCACUCUAGCAAGACUGCCGGUGACAAACCGGAGGAAGGUGGGGAUGACGUCAAAUCAUCAUGCCCCUUAUGACCUGGGCUACACACGUGCUACAAUGGGAAGUACAACGAGUUGCGAAGUCGCGAGGCUAAGCUAAUCUCUUAAAGCUUCUCUCAGUUCGGAUUGCAGGCUGCAACUCGCCUGCAUGAA